UGGAUCGAUGAUGAUCAAUGCCAGCGUAUGAGUCCUCGAUGACGAAUAAUAUGUGUCUGGAACUCUGAGGUCCAA
Catagonus wagneri (Chacoan peccary) is the source of this 75-nucleotide small nucleolar RNA. NCBI's taxonomy places the organism in Eukaryota, Metazoa, Chordata, Mammalia, Artiodactyla, Tayassuidae. The record is from Ensembl.